UACCCAUAGUAUAAUGAAGUGGCAUCACUUUAUUAUUAAAGAUUUAUCACUCGAAGAUGGCUGUGCGGCUGAUUAGGUAGUUGGCGGGUAAAGGCCCACCAAGCCUGCGAUCAGUAACUGGUGUGAGAGCACGACCAGUCACACGGGCACUGAGACACGGGCCCGACUCCUACGGGAGGCAGCAGUAAGGAAUAUUGGUCAAUGGAGGCAACUCUGAACCAGCCAUGCCGCGUGGAGGAUGAAGGUCCUCUGGAUUGUAAACUUCUUUUAUAUGGGACGAAAAAGGCUUUUCUAAGUCGUCUGACGGUACCAUAUGAAUAAGCACCGGCUAACUCCGUG
Molecule: ribosomal RNA, 339 nt
Filed under: uncultured bacterium
Lineage: Bacteria
Description: bacterial SSU rRNA
Rfam family: Bacterial small subunit ribosomal RNA
Source: RNAcentral